RNAcentral lists this ribosomal RNA (469 nucleotides) under uncultured bacterium. RNAcentral's name for it is "partial 16S ribosomal RNA". It matches the Rfam family "Bacterial small subunit ribosomal RNA", at positions 28 to 507 of the family's 1533-position model. The record is from RNAcentral.
GACGAACGCUGGCGGCGUGCUUAACACAUGCAAGUCGAACGGAAAGGCCCUGCUUGCAGGGUGCUCGAGUGGCGAACGGGUGAGUAACACGUGUGUGAUCUGCCCCUUACUUUGGGAUAAGCCUGGGAAACUGUGUCUAAUACUGGAUAGGACCAUGCUGUAGGUGGUGUGGUGGAUAGAUUAGUUCCGGUAAGGGAUGAGCGCGCGGCCUAUCAGCUUGUUGUUGGGGUAAUGGCCUACCAAGGCGUCGACGGGUAGCCGGCCGGAGAGGGGGGACGGCCACAUUGGGACUGAGAUACGGCCCAGACUCCUACGGGAGGCAGCAGUGGGGAAGAUUGCACAAUGGGCGCAGGCCUGAUGCAGCGACGACGCGUGGGGGAUGACGGCCUUCGGGUUGUAAACUCCUUUCAGCCAUGACGAAGCCCUUGUGGUGACGGUAGUGGUAGAAGAAGCACCGGCUAACUACGUG